GUGAAUCAUCGAAUUUUUGAACGCAAAUUGCACUUUCUGGUAUUCCGGAAAGUAUGCCUGUUUGAGGGUCAGUUAAAUUAAAAUCGGGUUUGUUUCUAGCCGUAGGUGUGUGCGAUGCAUCUGAAUUUCGUCAUUCUUUACCUUUGGUUUAAGUUACUUAAAAUUAUUUUCGAUUUUUGAACGUAUUUGAAUUAUUAUUUACUUUCGUUAUAUCAUAUAUUAUGUGCUGUCAGUCACAUUAUUUCGCGUCUAUAAUUCUUCAUUAUUACACCUCAAAUCAUGUGA
RNAcentral lists this unclassified non-coding RNA (285 nucleotides) under Glomus sp. RNAcentral describes it as "partial contains 5.8S ribosomal RNA and internal transcribed spacer 2". The stretch from base 1 to 71 matches the Rfam family "5.8S ribosomal RNA", at positions 84 to 154 of the family's 154-position model. The record is from RNAcentral. Lineage: Eukaryota; Fungi; Glomeromycota; Glomeromycetes; Glomerales; Glomeraceae.